Molecule: ribosomal RNA, 410 nt
Filed under: Streptomyces sp. 448(2010)
Lineage: Bacteria; Bacillati; Actinomycetota; Actinomycetes; Kitasatosporales; Streptomycetaceae
Description: bacterial SSU rRNA
Rfam family: Bacterial small subunit ribosomal RNA
Source: RNAcentral
GCGGGGGGGUGCUUACCAUGCAGUCGAACGAUGAACCACUUCGGUGGGGAUUAGUGGCGAACGGGUGAGUAACACGUGGGCAAUCUGCCCUGCACUCUGGGACAAGCCCUGGAAACGGGGUCUAAUACCGGAUACUGACCCGCUUGGGCAUCCAAGCGGUUCGAAAGCUCCGGCGGUGCAGGAUGAGCCCGCGGCCUAUCAGCUUGUUGGUGAGGUAAUGGCUCACCAAGGCGACGACGGGUAGCCGGCCUGAGAGGGCGACCGGCCACACUGGGACUGAGACACGGCCCAGACUCCUACGGGAGGCAGCAGUGGGGAAUAUUGCACAAUGGGCGAAAGCCUGAUGCAGCGACGCCGCGUGAGGGAUGACGGCCUUCGGGUUGUAAACCUCUUUCAGCAGGGAAGAAGCG